This is a long non-coding RNA of Monodelphis domestica (gray short-tailed opossum), 645 nucleotides long. RefSeq lists it as uncharacterized. Lineage: Eukaryota; Metazoa; Chordata; Mammalia; Didelphimorphia; Didelphidae. The record is from RefSeq and is a predicted model, not a curated record.
GGGCUCCAUGGAAGAAUUUUACUAAAAUAGUACAGCCAGUUGUGUUCUGAUGGCUCCAAGUGGGCUUCCCAUCUAUGCCUUUUAGCAUGUGGGGAUCUACGGGUAUAUCUUGGGUGGCCUCUAUUGCCACACGUCGCCGUGUGCUCUCUAUGAUGAAAAUGGAUGUAUCAAAGGACAGGGUGUAGGCCGAGCACUCUGGCUGCGUCUUUCUCAGGACUCUCAUGCAGUACUCCCUGCAAGAAAAUCAGAGCAUCAGGGUGCUGGGUCCAGGAUGAAGAGUGGAGUCAUCCAAACCAGUGGCAAGACCAAAGUCAAGAGUGACGAUGGCCUGGGAUGCAGUCUGACCAAGCUUUAAGUGCUCCAGUGUCUGCUUCUGUCACCUUCAUGACUAUUCGAACAAACUGAUUUCAUCUAUCCAUUCUACUAGAGGAAGUCUUCCAUGCUUGGGAUGGACAUCCACUAACUUGUGAACAGGAAAUAAAAAAAUGGGUACCCACUGAGAAAAAACACUGAUCACAGGCCAUGAUUCAGUUUUUUACAACCCAGAUUUUGUAAGAAAACAAAAAAGCCUACUCUUUAUUUGGACCAGCAGGGUAUAUUGCCCUCUUGUUUCUUAGAAUAAAAAAUUACCUUAUUCCAGUGAAA